ACGGAGGGUGCGAGCGUUGUUCGGAUUUAUUGGGCGUAAAGCGCGCGCAGGCGGAAAGAUAAGUCAGAUGUGAAAUCUCGGGGCCUAACUCCGAAAGUGCGUCUGAAACUGUUUUUCUAGAAUGCCGGAGGGGGAUGGGGAAUUUCUCAUGUAGGGGUAAAAUCCGUAGAGAUGAGAAGGAACACCCGUGGCGAAGGCGCCAUCCUGGACGGUGAUUGACGCUGAGGCGCGAAGGCGUGGGGAUCAAACAG
RNAcentral lists this ribosomal RNA (251 nucleotides) under uncultured prokaryote. RNAcentral's name for it is "partial 16S rRNA". It matches the Rfam family "Bacterial small subunit ribosomal RNA", at positions 525 to 775 of the family's 1533-position model. The record is from RNAcentral.